GACGAACCGUGCGAACGUUAUUCGGAAUCACUGGGCUUAAAGCGCGUGUAGGCGGAUGGGGACGUCGGUCGCUGAAAUCCCCCGGCUCAACCGGGGAACUGGCCCCGAAACGCCCCGUCUGGAGGAAGAUAGAGGUAAGCGGAACUUACGGUGGAGCGGUGAAAUGCGUUGAUAUCGUAAGGAACACCUGUGGCGAAAGCGGCUUACUGGGUCUUUUCUGACGCUGAUGCACGAAAGCUAGGGGAGCAAACGGG
RNAcentral lists this ribosomal RNA (254 nucleotides) under uncultured bacterium. RNAcentral's name for it is "partial 16S ribosomal RNA". It matches the Rfam family "Bacterial small subunit ribosomal RNA", at positions 524 to 776 of the family's 1533-position model. The record is from RNAcentral.